GACGAACGCUGGCGGCGUGCCUAAUACAUGCAAGUCGAACGGGAGCGACCGGUGCUUGCACUGGUUAAUCUAGUGGCGAACGGGUGAGUAACACGUGGGCAACCUGCCCAUCAGAGGGGGAUAACAUUCGGAAACGGAUGCUAAAACCGCAUAGGUCCUUUAACCGCAUGGUUGAAGGAGGAAAAGAGGCGCAAGCUUCUGCUGAUGGAUGGACCCGCGAUGCAUUAGCUAGUUGGUGAGGUAACGGCUCACCAAGGCCGUGAUGCAUAGCCGACCUGAGAGGGUGAUCGGCCACAUUGGGACUGAGACACGGCCCAAACUCCUACGGGAGGCAGCAGUAGGGAAUCUUCCGCAAUGGACGCAAGUCUGACGGAGCAACGCCGCGUGAGUGAAGAAGGUUUUCGGAUCGUAAAGCUCUGUUGUUAGAGAAGAACAAGUGCUAGAGUAACUGUUAGCGCCUUGACGGUAUCUAACCCAGA
Molecule: ribosomal RNA, 479 nt
Filed under: Granulicatella adiacens
Lineage: Bacteria; Bacillati; Bacillota; Bacilli; Lactobacillales; Carnobacteriaceae
Description: bacterial SSU rRNA
Rfam family: Bacterial small subunit ribosomal RNA
Source: RNAcentral